This 73-nucleotide transfer RNA is filed under the name Ictidomys tridecemlineatus (thirteen-lined ground squirrel). Its description in RNAcentral is "Spermophilus tridecemlineatus (thirteen-lined ground squirrel) tRNA". It matches the Rfam family "tRNA". From Rfam's summary of the family: Transfer RNA (tRNA) molecules are approximately 80 nucleotides in length. The record is from Rfam by way of RNAcentral. Lineage: Eukaryota; Metazoa; Chordata; Mammalia; Rodentia; Sciuridae.
GGAGGUAUAGCUCAGUUUGUAGAGUGCUUGCUUUGCAUGCACAAGGCCCUGGGUUUAAUCCCCAGCACCAUUA